CUCUUCCUGUGUGAGGUAGGGUCGUACUCUACGGAUGUUCCUCUUCCUGUGUGAGGGAGGGUCGUACUCUACGGAUGUUCCUCUUCCUGUGUGAGGUAGGGUCGUACUCUACGGAUGUUCCUCUUCCUGUGUGAGGUAGGGUCGUACUCUACGGAUGUUCCUCUUCCUGUGUGAGGUAGGGUCGUACUCUACGGAUGUUCCUCUUCCUGUGUGAAGUAGGGUCGUACUCUACGGAUGUUCCUCUUCCUGUGUGAGGUAGGGUCGUACUCUACGGAUGUUCCUCCUCCUGUGUGAGGUAGGGUCGUACUCUACGGAUGUUCCUCUUCCUGUGUGAAGUAGGGUCGUACUCUACGGAUGUUCCUCUUCCUGUGUGAGGUAGGGUCGUACUCUACGGAUGUUCCUCUUCCUGUGUGAG
Oncorhynchus tshawytscha (Chinook salmon) is the source of this 415-nucleotide long non-coding RNA. The record is from Ensembl. NCBI's taxonomy places the organism in Eukaryota, Metazoa, Chordata, Actinopteri, Salmoniformes, Salmonidae.